This 773-nucleotide ribosomal RNA is filed under the name uncultured Neocallimastigales. RNAcentral's name for it is "partial large subunit ribosomal RNA". It matches the Rfam family "Eukaryotic large subunit ribosomal RNA", at positions 22 to 605 of the family's 3401-position model. Lineage: Eukaryota; Fungi; Neocallimastigomycota; Neocallimastigomycetes; Neocallimastigales. The record is from RNAcentral.
GUACACGCUGUGACUAGCAUAUCAAUAAGCGGAGGAAAAGAAACUAACAAGGAUUCCCCUAGUAACGGCGAGUGAAGCGGGAAGAGCUCAAAUUUGAAAUCUUAAAGGGUUUCCCUUUACGAAUUGUAGUUUAAAGAAGUGUUUUCUGUUGAGGUUUUGGUAAAAGUUCUUUGGAAUAGGACAUCAUAGAGGGUGAGAAUCCCGUAUUUGACCUUUACUUUCAACUUUGUGAUACACUUUCAAAGAGUCGGAUUGUUUGGGAAUGCAGUCCAAAAUGGGUGGUAAAUUUCAUCUAAAGCUAAAUAUUGGCGAGAGACCGAUAGCGAACAAGUACCGUGAGGGAAAGAUGAAAAGAACUUUGAAAAGAGAGUUAAACAGUACGUGAAAUUGUCAAAAGGGAAGCGUUUGACACCAGUGUUGUUUUUCUGAAAAUCAAUUAAAGAACUGUUUAUGCUAAGUUGUUUAGACUUUAUCAGCUAACUGUUUAGUUUUGAGCUUUUCUUUAAUGCACUUUUCAGUUAACAAGUCAACAUCAAUUUCUUUUGCUGUAAAAAAGCUUGAGGAAGGUGGCUUGAGAUUCGUCUUAAGUGUUUAUAGCCUCUUGCCUAUGCAGUCGGAGAGAUUGAGGUCUGCAGCGUAGAUCCUUCGGGGCUAAAUGCAUUUGUGCUAAGUUAUAGCAUUUUAUAGACAACUUGUUGACUAUGAUUUGUCUUGUAGCUUACUCGCUUAUGUUAUUUUACCUACGCUUAGGAUGUUGAGUCGUAGAGCACGCA